This 66-nucleotide transfer RNA is filed under the name Helophorus sp. BMNH 724835. RNAcentral's name for it is "tRNA-His". Lineage: Eukaryota; Metazoa; Arthropoda; Insecta; Coleoptera; Helophoridae. The record is from RNAcentral.
AUUUAAAUAGUUUAUUUAAAAUAUUGAUUUGUGGUGUCAAAGAUGUGAAAUUAAUCACUUUAAAUU